RNAcentral lists this long non-coding RNA (245 nucleotides) under Arachis ipaensis. RNAcentral describes it as "long non-coding RNA (AIPA_LNC002046)". Lineage: Eukaryota; Viridiplantae; Streptophyta; Magnoliopsida; Fabales; Fabaceae. The record is from RNAcentral.
UUCGGGCACGGAUUCGGUGUGCCGAAAUUCUUUGGCACACCAGUGCACAUGAUGUUUAUGUUUGGCUGAUCGGUGCGCCAUUUGAGGUUGGCCGUCGGAUCUCUCUGCUUUUUCAAUCCAAUGGUAGAGAUUACUCUUUCUCUCUCCUCCUAUAAUUGGUUAGUGGUUUAGGUGUGUCAGAGGGGUUAGUUUGCAAAUCUCACUUUGUAGCUGGUUAUUUUUGUUACAAUAAAAAAUUAUUUGGG